Non-coding RNA from Sus scrofa (pig), 2933 nucleotides. Lineage: Eukaryota; Metazoa; Chordata; Mammalia; Artiodactyla; Suidae. The record is from RefSeq and is a predicted model, not a curated record.
CUUCAUUUUUUCUGAAGCUGUGAUAAAUAAAAGCUCAAUGUGGUUUAUGGUGUUGCCAGGGGUGUAGAAGACGACGGAUUGAAAAAAAAACAACACACAUGCAAGCAAGCAAAUCUUCAGCAUAACCUGAAUAUAUCUCUGUGUUAACUCACUGCCCUACACUCCCAUUCAAGUGGGGCUCCCCAAAUAUACAUGUUAAUCGCUGUUUAGGCACAGCCAUUUCAAACUGGGUCUGUCUCAAUCUUGUGAAGGUGCUCAGAAGUCUCCAAGAGCCAGAGAAAUUGAAUUGACUAGAAAAGAUGCUCAGUGCAAGCAGGCACAGUGGUGGGAUUUCCACCCAGCCCGUGGGUCCAAGGUGGAUAGCCAAGUGGUAAUUGAAAUGUUCACCUUAACCAUUAGCUAAGGAUCCCAAAUAUUCGCUGAAAAGGACGACCACGCUCCUCUCCCACUUCAGGGAAGAGAACCAGGAACCUCCACCAUUAAACUGGCCACCUGCGCGGCCUAGACAUCAUGUGGAGGAAGGCGUGGUGGAAGGCCCACCCCAACCCAAUUUCCUCGUGACCUUCCGGUGCGCGGGCCCUGAUGAGCCGCAAGUCUUACAGUGAAGAGGGCUCUCCACCGGAUAACCUUCUGAGGCCUCGGUGCUGGCAGAUAUGAUUGCUCCAGCUGCCCAUGGCAAGUAUCACUUGAGACUGGACCAUACGCCUCCAAUCACUGUGCUCGUGCCAUUUCUCUCUCUAGCCUUUCCCUUCUCCUCACUGUUUUUCAAACUCUACUCAUGGACUUAGGAUCGACUCAGGCAUCACCACUUCCAUCAAGCCUUCCCUAAUACUUCCCCGGGCAAGAUGCAGGUGUUUAUCCUCCUCACUCUUGCAGCAUCUUCUGCAUACCUCGGUUGCAGAAUGUCUCUGUCUCAUGUGUUCCAGGAGGUAAGGUGUUGUUCUAGGUGCUGAAUAUAUGGUGGCAAGCAAAACAAAGUCCCUUUUCUCAUGGAGCUUGUGCUCUUCUAGACACAGGGCCACAGGACUUUUGGCUUUGCUGGAGGAUCCAGUGCAGAGCAGGGAGUGGUGGCAGAAGAAGCUGAAGAGGAAGAGGGCAGUUUGUUUUAUGUGGAAGAACCAAGUUGAUACCCUACCUACUUCCACAAAGGAUUUGAGGCGCUUAUAAAAAGCUAAGGAUUUGCCAAAUCCAACUACCACUGGGUGGGAAUCCCAGACCCCCCUCCUGGGGAGGAGAUUCUUCUGCUUCCCUUGAAGUCUCUUGGUUGCUGCAGGGAGACUGCCAACAGGACUGGAGAAAAGAGGCUGCCCCUGGACCCUGUGCACCCUUAGAGAUCCCCUUGGGUUGAUUCAGUAAAUGGAUUGUGACUCAGUGCAGUGAGUGGAGAGCCUGGCCCAGAGUAAGAACUUCAUAAAUGAUUGUUGGAUGAAAACACAAGGGAUAAGGAGUGGCUAACCUCUUUGAGCUUUGACUUCAACCUAAGAAUGAGUGGCCUUAUGAGCUUCCUGGAAAGCAAGAUGGUUCCUACACCAACACCUUGCUCAACUCAAGUCGAAGGAUAAAAAUUCAUAAGUACAACCCCUGUACCUUUAUUUCCAAGUUCAACCAUUCAUCCACCCAUCCAUGCAUCCAUUUAAGUCUUAGUAUCCAUCCCAUCCAUCCAACAUGGCGAGGCACUGUGCUAGACACUGGAGAUACUGAAAUGAUCUUAUGGAAUUCACUGCCACUGUCAAGUGACAGUGAGAGAAAUGCUAAUUAGAAAAAAAGAAAAGUGCAAAUUGAAGUAGGUAAACAGAUAGGGUGAGGGGGCCAAGAAUUCUUUGCUAAUGAACAGACUUAUUGAUUGAUUGAUUGAUUUAAUUUACUUAUUUUUUGGCCAUGUCCACAACAUGCGGGAAUUCCCGGGCCAGGGAUGGAAUCCAUGCCACGGCUAUAGCCAGAGACACAACAGUGACAAAGCUGGAUCCCCAACCCUCUGGGCCACGAGGGAACUCCUAAUGAGUAGACUUUUAAAGGAAGAGACUGGAGUUUGCCAAGCUUGAGAGAAGAUGGGAAGGGGAUCUGAGAACAGCAGAAAUAAAAUCAGGGAGCCCAGAACACUGUGUUGAAUUCAGGACAUGCUGGUAAACCAGUGUGGCUAUCAGAUAGGAUGUCAGGGCAGCGGAUUAUUGAAGACAGGGAGAGGGAGAAGGGUUUAGAGGUAUAGUUUCCCCAAUUAUCUGCUGCAAAUAAAAUGAAAAUACUGUGGUAUCAGUGUAUGUUGACACUAACUUGAGUCAGAGGCUUACUCUCCACCAAAUGCUUUUAUUGUUGUUACUAUUCUUUUGACAACAUUUAUUUACAUUUGCUUUAGAGCCCAAAUCAAAGCAAAUCAGAAUAUGACAAAGGUGUGUGGGCUAGACGAGUUCCUUGAUGGAGAAUGAAUUUGCUCUUUUGUAUGUAAGUAGUUUCUAGCCUGAUGGGCUGCUGACUGCUGUGGCACAGGGACUAUUUCCAACGAUUUAACUUUGGCCCCUAACAAACCACAUUUUAUAAUUACUUUUUACCCAGAUAGCAUCAAUGAUAUAACCAUGACCUAUGUAAAAUCUGCACAUAUGGAUAUGCCAAGUUCAUUCACUGAUUUCCAGAAUUUCAGAUCCUCCAAGGAUUUUCCUGAAUCUCCAUGAUGCCUCAGAAAGCUUCAUUUUGCAUCUGAUUCUCUUAUUUUGAUUCAGAAAUUCAUGUUGCUUGUCUCUAGUGCACAAAGCAGAGUUCCCUCUUUUGGACAAAUUGGUCUUGGACAAAGUAUGCCACAUAAAUUCCUUCUAGAUCAUCUUGUGCCUUAAGACUAAGGGCUUAAGGAGUUCCUGUGGUGGCACAGUGGAAACAAAUCAGACUAGGAACCAUGAAGUUGCGGGUUGGAUCCCUGGCCUUGCUCAGUGGGUUAAGGAUCC